This 497-nucleotide ribosomal RNA is filed under the name uncultured bacterium. RNAcentral's name for it is "partial 16S ribosomal RNA". It matches the Rfam family "Bacterial small subunit ribosomal RNA", at positions 28 to 507 of the family's 1533-position model. The record is from RNAcentral.
GAUGAACGCUGGCGGCGUGCCUAAUACAUGCAAGUCGAGCGAACAGACGAGGAGCUUGCUCCUCUGACGUUAGCGGCGGACGGGUGAGUAACACGUGGAUAACCUACCUAUAAGACUGGGAUAACUUCGGGAAACCGGAGCUAAUACCGGAUAAUAUAUUGAACCGCAUGGUUCAAUAGUGAAAGACGGUUUUGCUGUCGCUUAUAGAUGGAUCCGCGCCGCAUUAGCUAGUUGGUAAGGUAACGGCUUAGCAAGGCAACGAUGCGUAGCCGACCUGAGAGGGUGAUCGGCCACACUGGAACUGAGACACGGUCCAGACUCCUACGGGAGGCAGCAGUAGGGAAUCUUACGCAAUGGGCGAAAGCCUGACGGAGCAACGCCGCGUGAGUGAUGAAGGUCUUCGGAUCGUAAAACUCUGUUAUUAGGGAAGAACAAAUGUGUAAGUAACUAUGCACGUAUUGACGGUACCUAAUCAGAAAGCCCCGGCUAACUACGUG